Molecule: ribosomal RNA, 332 nt
Filed under: uncultured bacterium
Lineage: Bacteria
Description: partial 16S ribosomal RNA
Rfam family: Bacterial small subunit ribosomal RNA
Source: RNAcentral
CCUACGGGAGGCAGCAGUGAGGAAUAUUGGUCAAUGGCCGGAAGUCUGAACCAGCCAAGCCGCGUGAAGGACGAAGGUGCCAAGCAUUGUAAACUUCUUUUGUCAAGGGACAAAAUCAGGCUCGAGAGCCUGACCGAGGGUACUUGAAGAAAAAGCAUCGGCUAACUCCGUGCCAGCAGCCGCGGUAAUACGGAGGAUGCGAGCGUUAUCCGGAUUUAUUGGGUUUAAAGGGUGCGUAGGCGGGCUGUUAAGUCAGCGGUAAAAUCCCGGGGCUCAACCCCGGAGAGCCGUUGAUACUGGUCGUCUUGAGAUGUGGUGCGGUAUGCGGAAUG